CCUACGGGAGGCAGCAGUGGGGAAUAUUGCACAAUGGGGGAAACCCUGAUGCAGCGACGCCGCGUGAGUGAAGAAGUAAUUCGUUAUGUAAAGCUCUAUCAGCAGGGAAGAAAAUGACGGUACCUGAGUAAGAAGCCCCGGCUAACUACGUGCCAGCAGCCGCGGUAAUACGUAGGGGGCAAGCGUUAUCCGGAUUUACUGGGUGUAAAGGGAGCGUAGACGGCAGUGCAAGUCUGGAGUGAAAGGCGGGGGCUCAACCCCCGGACUGCUCUGGAAACUGUACGGCGUGAGUGCAGGAGAGGUAAGUGGAAUUCCUAGUGUAGCGGUGAAAUGCGUAGAUAUUAGGAGGAACACCAGUGGCGAAGGCGGCUUACUGGACUGUAACUGACGUUGAGGCUCGAAAGCGUGGGGAGCAAACAGGAGUAGAUACCCCUGUAGUC
RNAcentral lists this ribosomal RNA (440 nucleotides) under uncultured bacterium. RNAcentral's name for it is "partial 16S ribosomal RNA". It matches the Rfam family "Bacterial small subunit ribosomal RNA", at positions 338 to 795 of the family's 1533-position model. The record is from RNAcentral.